UGCAUAAUUGGCCAUUUCUGUGUGCAGUUGCCGCACAUCGUUCUCAAUCUUAAUUAACAAAUAUACAAACGAAUAAAAGUGCGAGCGCCAAAAAGGGAGGAACUCUUGGCUGGCUGAAGUUCUGGAUCUGUACUAUGUGGAGGAUGAGGGAAAGACAAAAAAGCCCGCCACCAUGCGACAUAAAAUGCAAUUUACGACUUGUCAUAAAGGGAGACCCGCCAUAUAGUAAAUCAUUUUUUAUGUAGCCAAGAGUCGGGAGAGGACAUCGCGACCAUAAGUAGCUGGCCGGACUACUAAAAACGCGAAUAAGCCACGGUUAGGCCGAACAUAAAAUCCUUUAGCACCUUUCGAAUCCGAGUACCGACGAUGAGGACGUGGUCGAGGACGAGGACGAGGACGAAGGGAUUCGAAUGGAAUGGCUCACCGGCUAAACGCGAAAUUUACACAAUCAACAAAUGACAUAAAAUUGUUGCCAAAGUGGCGCAAGAAAAGGAAUAAAUUGCAUGACAAAUUCCCAAGGCUCGGGUCCAACACGAAUGAUGAACGAUGAUUAUAAGGCAAAAGGAAGCCAGCCAGAUAUAGACCCAAUUUCAGAGGGUUUCGGAAUGGAUGGAUGGAUGGCGGGAUGGAUGGAUGGAUGGGAAGAGGCAAAAGGACAGGAGCGAAACAACAUUUUAAGUCCUCGAAUUCCAACAUGUGGAGCAAUAAUAAUAAUUUUAUUGUUUUAACAAAGGCAGCAGAAAGUUGUUUGAGCCACAGCUGAGCGGCUUUUAAAAACAAAUCGCAAGGUGAGCACGGCCGGAGUCCCGGCUUCCUCAUGGAAACGGAGGAAACAGUGGCAACAGUGGAAACCGUGGAGGCACGAAGGCAUCCUGCGAAGCCAGGACCAGCAGGACCCCCAGGAUAAGUGCCAGGCAAGCGGAAAGAUACAGAGCAUACCCGUGCAUACAUAUAAAAGCGCUUUUUUGCCAACAACGCUGCAAAAUGUCUAAAAAAAAAAGAGCGUC
Non-coding RNA from Drosophila melanogaster (fruit fly), 1007 nucleotides. The record is from Ensembl. NCBI's taxonomy places the organism in Eukaryota, Metazoa, Arthropoda, Insecta, Diptera, Drosophilidae.